AGUCGAACGCACCUUUCGGGGUGAGUGGCGGACGGGUGAGUAACGCGUGAGAAUCUGCCUUCAGGUCGGGGACAACCACUGGAAACGGUGGCUAAUACCGGAUAUGCCGCAACGUGAAAGAUUUAUCGCCUGAAGAGGAGCUCGCGUCUGAUUAGCUAGUUGGUGGGGUAAAAGCUCACCAAGGCGACGAUCAGUAGCUGGUCUGAGAGGAUGAUCAGCCACACUGGGACUGAGACACGGCCCAGACUCCUACGGGAGGCAGCAGUGGGGAAUUUUCCGCAAUGGGCGAAAGCCUGACGGAGCAAGACCGCGUGAGGGAGGAAGGCUCUUGGGUUGUAAACCUCUUUUCCCAGGGAAGAACACAAUGACGGUACCUGAGGAAUCAGCCUCGGCUAACUCCGUGCCAGCAGCCGCGGUAAUACGGAGGAGGCAAGCGUUAUCCGGAAUUAUUGGGCGUAAAGCGUCCGCAGGUGGCACUUCAAGUCUGUCGUCAAAGACUGGGGCUUAACCCUGGAAAGGCGGUGGAAACUGAAGCGCUAGAGUGUGGUAGGGGUAGAGGGAAUUCCCGGUGUAGCGGUGAUAUGCGUAGAGAUCGGGAAGAACAUCGGUGGCGAAAGCGCUCUACUGGACCACAACUGACACUCAGGGACGAAAGCUAGGGGAGCGAAUGGGAUUAGAUACCCCAGUAGUCCUAGCCGUA
This 700-nucleotide ribosomal RNA is filed under the name uncultured cyanobacterium. RNAcentral's name for it is "bacterial SSU rRNA". It matches the Rfam family "Bacterial small subunit ribosomal RNA", at positions 60 to 804 of the family's 1533-position model. The record is from RNAcentral. Lineage: Bacteria; Bacillati; Cyanobacteriota.